GGCUUUGUGCAGUGGCAGCAUCGGAGCCACUGAGGUUUAUCCAAGGAGUGAUUAUUGCUAAUUGAAAACUUUUCCCAGGGCCG
RNAcentral lists this small nuclear RNA (83 nucleotides) under Propithecus coquereli (Coquerel's sifaka). RNAcentral describes it as "U4 spliceosomal RNA (ENSPCOG00000012255.1)". It matches the Rfam family "U4 spliceosomal RNA". From Rfam's summary of the family: U4 small nuclear RNA (U4 snRNA) is a component of the major U2-dependent spliceosome. The structure of U4 snRNA from yeast and human has been reported. Lineage: Eukaryota; Metazoa; Chordata; Mammalia; Primates; Indriidae. The record is from RNAcentral.